Molecule: ribosomal RNA, 244 nt
Filed under: uncultured Desulfovibrio sp.
Lineage: Bacteria; Pseudomonadati; Thermodesulfobacteriota; Desulfovibrionia; Desulfovibrionales; Desulfovibrionaceae
Description: partial 16S ribosomal RNA
Rfam family: Bacterial small subunit ribosomal RNA
Source: RNAcentral
CUAAAGGGACUGCCGGUGUUAAACCGGAGGAAGGUGGGGAUGACGUCAAGUCCUCAUGGCCUUUAUGACCAGGGCUACACACGUACUACAAUGGCCGAUACAAAGGGCAGCGACACUGCGAGGUGGAGCCAACUCCCAAAAAGUGCGUCCCAGUCCGGAUUGCAGUCUGCAACUCGACUGCAUGAAGUUGGAAUCGCUAGUAAUUCGAGAUCAGCAUGCUCGGGUGAAUGCGUUCCCGGGCCUU